This 200-nucleotide ribosomal RNA is filed under the name uncultured Mesorhizobium sp. RNAcentral's name for it is "partial 16S ribosomal RNA". It matches the Rfam family "Bacterial small subunit ribosomal RNA", at positions 1185 to 1382 of the family's 1533-position model. The record is from RNAcentral. Lineage: Bacteria; Pseudomonadati; Pseudomonadota; Alphaproteobacteria; Hyphomicrobiales; Phyllobacteriaceae.
UCAAGGUCCUCAUGGCCCUUACGGGCUGGGCUACACACGUGCUACAAUGGUGGUGACAGUGGGCAGCGAAGACCGCGAGGUCGAGCUAAUCUCCAAAAGCCAUCUCAAGUUCGGAUUGCACUCUGCAACUCGAGUGCAUGAAGUUGGAAUCGCUAGUAAUCGCGGAUCAGCAUGCCGCGGUGAAUACGUUCCCGGGCCUU